CGGAGAAGGCUAGGCCAGCUUGGCGAUAGCUGGUUCUCCUCGAAAGCUAUUUAGGUAGCGCCUCGUGUAUCACUGCUGGGGGUAGAGCACUGCAUGGAUGAUGGGGGCCCACAGCCUUACUGAGUCUAAGCAAACUCCGAAUACCGGGAAGAACUGAUCGGGAGACACACGGCGGGUGCUAACGUCCGUCGUGGAGAGGGAAACAACCCUGACCAACAGCUAAGGCCCCCAAUUCGUGGCUAAGUGGGAAAGCAUGUGAGACUUCCAAAACAACCAGGAGGUUGGCUUAGAAGCAGCCAUCUUUUAAAGAUAGCGUAACAGCUCACUGGUCUAAUCAAGAGGUCUUCGCGGCGAAGAUGUAA
Molecule: ribosomal RNA, 362 nt
Filed under: uncultured bacterium
Lineage: Bacteria
Description: bacterial LSU rRNA
Rfam family: Bacterial large subunit ribosomal RNA
Source: RNAcentral